This 668-nucleotide ribosomal RNA is filed under the name marine plankton environmental sample. RNAcentral describes it as "SSU rRNA". It matches the Rfam family "Eukaryotic small subunit ribosomal RNA", at positions 617 to 1287 of the family's 1831-position model. The record is from RNAcentral.
AGUUAAAAAGCUCGUAGUUGGAUUUCUGUGGUGGGUAGUCGGCCGGCUCUUCGGAGUUGUAGCUAGAUUUACUUGCCGCAUCUUGUCGUAAUUCUCGCUGGUCUUAAUUGAUUGGUGCAGAGGACCGACUCGUUUACUUUGAGAAAAUUAGAGUGUUCAAAGCGGGCUAUCGCCUUGAAUAUGUUAGCAUGGAAUAAUGAUAUAGGACUUUGGUUCUAUUUUGUUGGUUGUUCGAGGACCGAAGUAAUGAUUGAUAGGGACAGUUGGGGGUAUCAGUAUUCUGAAGCGAGAGGUGAAAUUCUUGGACCUUCGGAAGACUAACAACUGCGAAAGCAUUUACCUAGGAUGUUCUCUUUAAUCAAGAACGAAAGUUGGGGGAUCGAAGACGAUCAGAUACCGUCGUAGUCUCAACUAUAAACUAUGCCAGCUAGGGAUGAGUGGAUGUUUAAUUACGACUCCAUUCGCACCUUAUGAGAAAUCAAAGCAUUUGGGUUCCGGGGGGAGUAUGGUCGCAAGGCUGAAACUUAAAGGAAUUGACGGGAGGGCACCACCAGGAGUGGAGCCUGUGGCUUAAUUUGACUCAACACGGGAAAACUUAUCAGGGCCAGACAUAGCUAGGAUUGACAGAUUGAUAGCUCUUUCUUGAUUCUAUGGGUGGUGGUGCAUGG